AUGCCGGAGCAGAGCAAGAGGCAGCGAGGCCGCAAGCGCACGGCGGCAGCGACGCUGCUCCUCGCGUACGCGGCCCUGGCCAUGGAGCGCGCCGACGCGGCGCUGCUCCCUGCGGUGUACAGGGAGAUCGGCGCCGCGCUGCAGACCUCGCCCACCGCGCUCGGCUCCAUCGCGCUCUCCCGCUCCGUCGUGCAGGCCGCGUGCUACCCCCUCGCCGCAUACCUGGCCGCCCGGCACGACCGCCUCACCGUCAUCGCCCUCGGCGCGUUCCUCUGGGCCGCUGCCACCUUGCUCAUAGGCCUCUCCACCACCUUUGCGCAGAUGGCCGUGACGGCGGCGUUGAACGGCGUCGGGCUGGCGUUGCAGAUCCCGGCGAUCUUCGCCUUCGUCGCGGACUCCGUCGAUGGCACGAACAGGGGCAUGGCCUUCGGGUGGCUCAUGGUGGCCAGCAAGGCCGGCACCGUGGGCGGCACCACCCUUGGCCUACUCAUGGCGCCCACCUCCUUCUUUGGUGUUCCGGGUUGGCGGCUCGCCUUCCUCCUGCUGGCCGCCGUGGGGGCGGCGGUCGGCUUGUCCAUCCGCGCGUUCGCGGCCGCCAGCAAGGCCCCGGUCCGGGCCGCCAAGCCGGUGCGGCAGGAGCUGCAGGACUUCGCGAGGGAGGCGAAGGCCGUGCUACGGAUCCCGUCGUUUCAGGUCAUCGUCGCGCAGGGACUCACGGGUUCGUUCCCCUGGUCCGCGCUGUCCUUCACGGCUAUGUGGCUCGAGCUAGUCGGCUUCUCCCACGGCGAGACGGCGGCGCUGAUGACUCUGUUCAAGGUCGCCACGUCGCUGGGCGGCCUCUUCGGCGGCAAGAUGGGGGACGUCCUCGCCGGGAGGCUCAAGAACUCAGGCCGCAUCAUCCUCGCGCAGGUCAGCGCCGGCUCGGCGAUCCCCCUCGCCUGCGUCCUGCUGCUCGCGCUCCCGAACGAGCCGGCGACUUUCGCCCACCACGGCGCCGCGCUGUUCGUCAUGGGGUUCAUGGCCUCCUGGAACACCUCGGCCACCAACAGCCCGAUACUGGCCGAGAUCGUGCCGCCGCGGUCGAGGACGAGCGUGUACGCGCUGGACCGGACGUUCGAGGCCGUGCUCGCCUCGUUCGCUCCCCCGGUGGUCGGCAUGCUCGCCGAGCACCUCUACGGCUACAAGCUGGUGCGCUCUGCUGCGAGCGGCGCAGAGCACGCGGCCUCCGUCGAGACGGACCGGCACAACGCGAUCUCCCUCGCCAGGGCCCUGUACACCGCGAUCGCCAUCCCCAUGGCGCUGUGCUGCCUCGUCUACUCGUUUCUGUACUGCACCUAUCCCAGAGACAGAGACCUGGCGCGGGCUGAGACGGCGCGAGAUGGAGGUGGAGCCCGUCCCGGCGGCGAGGGGUCCGACAACGAGGAUGAAGGGGAGGAGGAGAGGGAGCUGCUGCCACAGUGA
RNAcentral lists this ribosomal RNA (1461 nucleotides) under Triticum aestivum (bread wheat). Its description in RNAcentral is "partial small subunit ribosomal RNA". Lineage: Eukaryota; Viridiplantae; Streptophyta; Magnoliopsida; Poales; Poaceae. The record is from RNAcentral.